RNAcentral lists this transfer RNA (75 nucleotides) under Kumanoa ambigua. RNAcentral's name for it is "tRNA-Gln". It matches the Rfam family "tRNA". Rfam says of the family: Transfer RNA (tRNA) molecules are approximately 80 nucleotides in length. Their secondary structure includes four short double-helical elements and three loops (D, anti-codon, and T loops). Lineage: Eukaryota; Rhodophyta; Florideophyceae; Batrachospermales; Batrachospermaceae. The record is from RNAcentral.
UGGUGUGUCGCCAAAUUAGGUAAGGCGUUAGCUUUUGAUGCUAUCAUAUUGUAGGUUCGAAUCUUACCAUACCAG